This 879-nucleotide ribosomal RNA is filed under the name Triticum aestivum (bread wheat). RNAcentral's name for it is "partial small subunit ribosomal RNA". The record is from RNAcentral. Lineage: Eukaryota; Viridiplantae; Streptophyta; Magnoliopsida; Poales; Poaceae.
AUGAAGUCAUUUCUCAUCCUUGCCCUCCUUGCUAUCGUGGCGACCACCGCCACAACUGCAGUUAGAGUUCCAGUGCCACAAUUGCAGCCACAAAAUCCAUCUCAGCAACAACCACAAGAGCAAGUUCCAUUGGUGCAACAACAACAAUUUCUAGGGCAGCAACAACAAAAAUUUCCAGGGCAGCAGCAACCAUUUCCACCACAACAGCCAUAUCCGCAGCCGCAACCAUUUCUGCCACAACUACCAUUUCCGCAGCCGCAACCAUUUCCACCACAACAAUCAUAUCCACAACCGCAACCACAGUAUCCACAACCACAACAACCAAUUUCGCAGCAACAAGCACAACAACAACAACAACAACAACAACAAAUCCUUCAACAAAUUCUGCAACAACAACUGAUUCCAUGCAAGGAUGUCGUCUUGCAACAACCCAACAUAGCACAUGCUAGCUCACAAGUAUCGCAACAAAGUUACCAACUGUUGCAACAAUUAUGUUGUCAGCAAUUGUGGCAGACCCCCGAACAGUCACGGUGCCAAGCCAUCCACAAUGUCGUGCAUGCUAUUAUUCUGCAUCAUCAACAACAACAACAACAACAACAACAACAACAACAACAACAACAACAACAACAACAACAACAACAACCGUCGAGCCAGGUCUCCUACCAGCAGCCUCAACAAUAAUAUCCAUCGGCCCAGGGCUCCUUCCAGCCAUCUCAGCAAAACCCACAGGCCCAGGGCUUUGUCCAACCUCAACAACUGCCCCAGUUCGAGGAAAUAAGGAACCUAGCACUGCAGACGCUACCUGCAAUGUGCAAUGUCUACAUCCCUCCAUAUUGCUCGACCACCAUUGUGCCAUUUGGCAUCAUCGGUACUAACUGA